UACGGGGGGAGCAAGCGUUGUUCGGAUUUACUGGGCGUAAAGGGCGCGUAGGCGGCGCGACAAGUCACUUGUGAAAUCUCUGAGCUCAACUCAGAACGGUCAAGUGAUACUGUCGUGCUAGAGUGCGGAAGGGGCAACUGGAAUUCUUGGUGUAGCGGUGAAAUGCGUAGAUAUCAAGAGGAACACCUGCGGCGAAGGCGGGUUGCUGGGCCGACACUGACGCUGAGGCGCGAAAGCUAGGGGAGCGAACGGG
Molecule: ribosomal RNA, 253 nt
Filed under: Brevitalea sp.
Lineage: Bacteria; Pseudomonadati; Acidobacteriota; Blastocatellia; Blastocatellales; Arenimicrobiaceae
Also listed under: 1 other name
Description: partial 16S ribosomal RNA
Rfam family: Bacterial small subunit ribosomal RNA
Source: RNAcentral